Molecule: ribosomal RNA, 413 nt
Filed under: uncultured microorganism
Description: bacterial SSU rRNA
Rfam family: Archaeal small subunit ribosomal RNA
Source: RNAcentral
GCGCAGCAGGCGCGAAUACUCCGCAAUACACGAAAGUGUGACGGGGCCAUCCCGAGUGCCGUCCGCUGAGGACGGCUUUUCCCCAGUGUGCAUAGCUGGGGGAAUAAGGAGAGGGCAAGCCUGGUGUCAGCCGCCGCGGUAAUACCAGCUCUCCGAGUGGUGGGGACGCUUAUUGGGCCUAAAGCAUCCGUAGCCGGCUGGGCAAGUCCUCCGUUAAAUCCAACGAUUCAAUCGUUGGGCUGCGGGGGAUACUGUCCAGCUUGGGGGCGGGAGAGGCCGACGGUAUUCCCGGGGUAGGGGUGAAAUCCUAUAAUCCCGGGAGGACCACCAGUGGCGAAGGCUGUCGGCUAGAACGCGCCCGACGGUGAGGGAUGAAAGCUGGGGGAGCGAACCGGAUUAGAUACCCCCGUAGU